UCUGAUGUGGUUAAAGUGCAUCUUGAGUUAGCCAUGUGUGGCUUCCAAUCAAGUUAGUUUGAGCUGUUUAUUGAUAAUUUUCUAGCGCUUAGCUGGAUCCAGUUAAAUCGCAGAUGAAAAGCAAGAAAUCUUGUGAGAUCUGGCAACGUGUGCAUAUAUCGGGUGAAAAGUGGUCAAGGACCAUGCACCCACGCUACAGCGUUCAGUCUUUCCCAACCCAGGAUGCCUUUUAAGAAGACAGAGGGGCGACUAGAGGUGGGCAGUACAAAGUUAACACCUCAGAACUUGUCUGUGAUGUGCAAGGUGGGCAUCCUCGUCAGGUGCAAGAUCUGUCAUAGGUUGUUGAAGAGAGGCUUUGGGUUCUUCCAAGUAAGAUGAUAUUGCCAUACAUGAAGAUUCUCAAGAGACAAAUAGUAUAUGAAGUCAUCCAAACGUGCAGUUCUUGUCAACAGCAGAACUUCAGUGAUUUUUAAAGAUUCGAUCAUUAUUAUUUUGUUUAAUCCAUACAAUUCAGUUUGAGUGUCCAGAGUAUAAACAUUUUUACAGAAUUGUUUGUCGACUUUUUAAGUGAUGUUUAUGAAAAAAGGAUUAAAGCCAUGUCCUCAAA
Molecule: long non-coding RNA, 607 nt
Organism: Macrobrachium nipponense
Lineage: Eukaryota; Metazoa; Arthropoda; Malacostraca; Decapoda; Palaemonidae
Exons: 3
Source: RefSeq, a predicted model, not a curated record